UCGAGGGUGGCAGUGAUUACAAUUCUUUAAGAAGCUGUGGAGUUAUGGACCCUCUCUUCAGAAAAAAACAGAUUUUGCACAUAAUCCAUGGACCACAGGAUAAGUACUUAGAUGCCACCAGGGGAAGCCACUGCAGCCCAAGAUUGAAUCCAAAGCAAGCAAUUGCCAUGGUCCAUCAGAUAACUGCCAGCACAACCAAAAGGAAUGUGAUGAUCCCCGGGCAGAGUCUAUGCUGAUAGCCAUCAUCAAUGACAACUGAAAGAUCAGGGUAUAGGGCGUUGCUCCAGCCUCUGAAGCAUAUCAAGUAAAACAAAAGACUGCCAGGAACUAAGACCAGAUGGAUGCCCUCACCCAGAGACCCGAUGCCUCCCCGACUUGGAGACCAGCCCUCUAUCUAACUGGCCUGUAGUCUUUGUUCUGAGAGAUGGUUCUCUGAGACAUUAGACAGCCAUCUUCCCUCUUGCUAGCAAGCUGUAAUAAACUGCCCUUUCUUUUCCACCAUCUUGCCUCCUGACGAUUGGCUUUUGUCUUGUGGCAAGCAGAUUGUGCCCUUUGUGUGGUAAGAAAAUGAUUUGAGUAAAGAUUCU
Molecule: long non-coding RNA, 587 nt
Organism: Diceros bicornis minor
Lineage: Eukaryota; Metazoa; Chordata; Mammalia; Perissodactyla; Rhinocerotidae
Exons: 3
Source: RefSeq, a predicted model, not a curated record